GCCUUCUUUAGAGGAUAAGGUUGUUAGUUGGCAUCAGUAUAGGCUGUUCUCAAGCCAAGGCCAAGUGAGUGUCCUUAAAAUGCAGAGAGGAGGGAGAAAGGAGGGAGAAAGGGUUUUGGCAGAUAUCUUAUUAAAUGAAAUCUCUAAACAAACACAACAAUAAAUCCCACUUGAUAAUAAGUGACGCAUCUACAGCAAACUCCAGAAAGGUUGUUCGUUGAGUGGGUUCAUAGUAAAGGUGGCAGGUAGCCUCGCAGUUAGAGCGUUGGGCUAGUAUGUGAAAGGUCACUGGUUUGAAUUCCCAAGCAGACAAGGUGAAAAAUCGGUUGAUGUGCCCUUGAGCAAGGCAGUUACCCCUAAUUCUCUCCAGGGGUGUUGUACUACUAUGGCUGACUGGUUAAAACAACACUGCAUCCAUCCAGUGUAUGUGACAAUAAAACAUAUUUUUUAUGAUUAUUUGGGUAAGGCUUUGUAGGGGAGAGUGGGGUAAGUUGAGCCACCCUUGUUUCUAGGAAACCAUACACAAAAUGAAUUAUUUGACCAAAUAUUUAGGAAGAGGUCAUUUCAUGGACUCCGUGAAGGGAUAAACUACACUGAAAAAGUGGGACAGGAGAAACUGUAUCUAGGCCAACCUGCAUCUCCACCAGUAUUUGAGUGGAGGAUACUGUCUGCAAUGGAAAAAAGGUCAACACGGUGCAACAGUCCACUCCCAUUAUGGAAAUGCAUCCCAAAAUUCUCCAAAAUCCACCAUAUCCCAAGUCUCAUCUUAAAGGUUUUGUCAAGGACAAGCAAGCAGACCACGAACAAUUAAACUCUAAACCGGACACACAAAGAUCCCACAUCUACACAGGUCUAUUUUAAAAGCCUCCUACUCCCUAGCAGAAACAGCAGAAGAGAUGUUGGACACAUCAGUGUGGUAGUAGACCGAGGGUGAAGUCAAACAUCACACGCUACACGAUCUCACUGCAUUGACACAAUGGGCCGGCGACACCUCCAUUUGCCAAGGCUUCGCCUGCUGGUCCCUCAGCUUCGACAGGGGUGUUGACUCACAGCUGAUAUGAAUGAGGUGGAAAGCCCCCACACAAUACAGUGAUUCUAUGCUAACGGCCGUGGAUUGAACCUGUGACUCAUGCCAGCGCUACAUUAAAGAAAGCACAGAGGGGGUGUCUGGCCAUGAUCGGGUCUCGCUAAACGUCACCCAGAAUUCCCGUGGGAUGUGCUUUGGGCUUAGAGUCUCAGAACAGGCAGCGGAGGCUGAUUUCUGAAUGGAUUUACAAUUUCAAAUCAGGACAUUACAUGGCCAAGAUGAACAUGUCGGACCAGCAACACAGCACAUACUCAGGCGCAGUGUAAACACAUUAUCAAUAUGGCUGGAAAUGGCAGCAGGGUUCUCCAGUGUUUGCAGAGCAAAAGACAGGCUGCUGAACAUCUCUUCCAUGCUUCAGGGAGUGUGACAUAAUCUGUGUGGAUGGACUAAUUGACUACUUGAUUGAGUUCCCUGAAACAAUUGAUCCAGCCUAGCAGCAAGUCAACACCUGACUCCGGACUUCGUUUUCCCCGUUGUAGACAGAAUCCAUGAGGGCCUAAACAUCUCUCUGCAUUGUGCCACUCAGGAUUAGAGGAGAUGGAUGGACAUUGAAAAUAGAGAGGGUCUGGAAUUCUCCCCUGGAGGACUCAGUCAUGCUGAACGCUGACAUCUGAACGCAGCAGGGGGACUGCAUGCCUACUGCCUUGACUUCAGUACUUCCUGCAGUCAAACGACCAAAUCGCCCUCUAGUGGCCUCAUGGGUGGAAUGUUAUUCAUAAUUUCCUAAUUAAUAAAUAUUUUUUUAUCCGGUG
Molecule: long non-coding RNA, 1839 nt
Filed under: Salmo salar (Atlantic salmon)
Lineage: Eukaryota; Metazoa; Chordata; Actinopteri; Salmoniformes; Salmonidae
Description: lncRNA (ENSSSAG00000066556.2)
Source: RNAcentral